Molecule: unclassified non-coding RNA, 347 nt
Filed under: soil metagenome
Description: partial contains 5.8S ribosomal RNA, internal transcribed spacer 2, and large subunit ribosomal RNA
Rfam family: 5.8S ribosomal RNA (bases 1-120)
Source: RNAcentral
GAUGAAGAACGCAGUGAAAUGCGAUAAGUAGUGUGAAUUGCAGAAUUCAGUGAAUCAUCGAGUCUUUGAACGCACAUUGCGCCCCCUGGUAUUCCGGGGGGCAUGCCUGUCCGAGCGUCAUUGCUGCCCUCAAGCACGGCUUGUGUGUUGGGCUUCCGUCCCUGGCAACGGGGACGGGCCCAAAAGGCAGUGGCGGCACCAUGUCUGGUCCUCGAGCGUAUGGGGCUUUGUCACCCGCUCCCGUAGGUCCAGCUGGCAGCUAGCCUCGCAACCAAUCUUUUUAACCAGGUUGACCUCGGAUCAGGUAGGGAUACCCGCUGAACUUAAGCAUAUCAAUAAGCGGAGGA